GACGAACGCUGGCGGCGUGCUUAACACAUGCAAGUCGAACGGAAAGGCCUCUUUCGGGGGGUACUCGAGUGGCGAACGGGUGAGUAACACGUGAGUAACCUGCCCUUGACUUUGGGAUAACUUCAGGAAACUGGGGCUAAAACCGGAUAGGAGCUCCUGCUGCAUGGUGGGGGUUGGAAAGUUUCGGCGGUUGGGGAUGGACUCGCGGCUUAUCAGCUUGUUGGUGGGGUAGUGGCUUACCAAGGCUUUGACGGGUAGCCGGCCUGAGGGGGUGACCGGCCACAUUGGGACUGAGAUACGGCCAGACUCCUACGGGAGGCAGCAGUGGGGAAUAUUGCACAAUGGGUGGAAGCCUGAUGCAGCAACGCCGUGUGCGGGAUGACGGCCUUCGGGUUGUAAACCGCUUUCGCUCAUGACGAAGCUUUGUGUGACGGUAGUGGGUAAAGAAGCACCGGCUAACUACGUG
This 466-nucleotide ribosomal RNA is filed under the name uncultured bacterium. RNAcentral describes it as "partial 16S ribosomal RNA". It matches the Rfam family "Bacterial small subunit ribosomal RNA", at positions 28 to 507 of the family's 1533-position model. The record is from RNAcentral.